RNAcentral lists this ribosomal RNA (423 nucleotides) under uncultured soil bacterium. Its description in RNAcentral is "bacterial SSU rRNA". It matches the Rfam family "Bacterial small subunit ribosomal RNA", at positions 26 to 451 of the family's 1533-position model. The record is from RNAcentral.
AGAUUGAACGCUGGCGGCAGGCCUAACACAUGCAAGUCGAGCGGUAGAGAGGUGCUUGCAUCUCUUGAGAGCGGCGGACGGGUGAGUAAUGCCUAGGAAUCUGCCUAGUGGUGGGGGAUAACGUUCGGAAACGGACGCUAAUACCGCAUACGUCCUACGGGAGAAAGUGGGGGAUCUUCGGACCUCACGCUAUCAGAUGAGCCUAGGUCGGAUUAGCUAGUUGGUAGGGUAAAGGCCUACCAAGGCUACGAUCCGUAACUGGUCUGGGAGGAUGAUCAGUCACACUGGAACUGAGACACGGUCCAGACUCCUACGGGAGCAGCAGUGGGAAUAUUGGACAAGUGGGACGAAAGCCUGAUCCAGCAAUGCCGCGUGAGUGAGUGAAGGUCGUUAGGUAGUAAGCUUCGUUUACCGGAAGUAUAA